RNAcentral lists this transfer RNA (73 nucleotides) under uncultured Microbacteriaceae bacterium. RNAcentral's name for it is "tRNA-Arg". It matches the Rfam family "tRNA". From Rfam's summary of the family: Transfer RNA (tRNA) molecules are approximately 80 nucleotides in length. Lineage: Bacteria; Bacillati; Actinomycetota; Actinomycetes; Micrococcales; Microbacteriaceae. RNAcentral also lists the same sequence under 1 other name. The record is from RNAcentral.
GCCGCUGUAGCUCAAUGGAAGAGCAGUUCCGUCCUAAGGAAAGGGUUGGGGGUUCGAGUCCCUCCAGCGGCAC